GUUCGUUGAAACUCACCCCCGGCUACGAUGCGGCGCCCAGAGCCAACAAGGGCCUCGGGUCAGCGCCCGCUGCCACGAGUGCGGCGGGACAAUCCAGGUCCUGACAGGC
Small nucleolar RNA from Lemur catta (Ring-tailed lemur), 109 nucleotides. RefSeq annotates it as small nucleolar RNA ACA64. NCBI's taxonomy places the organism in Eukaryota, Metazoa, Chordata, Mammalia, Primates, Lemuridae. The transcript has a single exon. The record is from RefSeq and is a predicted model, not a curated record.